UGGGGAAUAUUGGACAAUGGGGGAAACCCUGAUCCAGCCAUGCCGCGUGUGUGAAGCAGGUCUUCGGAUUGUAAAGCACUUUAAGCUGGGAGGAAGGGUUGUAGAUUAAUACUCUGCAAUUUUGACGUUACCGACAGAAUAAGCACCGGCUAACUUCGUGCCAGCAGCCGCGGGAAUACGAAGGGUGCAAGCGUUAAUCGGAAUUACUGGGCGUAAAGCGCGCGUAGGUGGUUUGUCAAGUUGGAAGUGAAAGCCCCGGGCUCAACCUGGGAACUGCUUUCAAAACUGGGAAGCUAGAGUAUGGCAGAGGGUGGUGGAAUUUCCUGUGUAGCGGUGAAAUGCGUAGAUAUAGGAAGGAACACCAGUGGCGAAGGCGACCACCUGGGCUAAUACUGACACUGAGGUGCGAAAGCGUGGGGAGCAAACAGG
RNAcentral lists this ribosomal RNA (429 nucleotides) under uncultured prokaryote. RNAcentral describes it as "bacterial SSU rRNA". It matches the Rfam family "Bacterial small subunit ribosomal RNA", at positions 355 to 776 of the family's 1533-position model. RNAcentral also lists the same sequence under 1 other name. The record is from RNAcentral.